CACAAUACAGAAUUAAGUAUUUAAGCUAAUACAUUCAAGUUUGGUGUAAAAGCAUGUGAGAUAAACGAAUGUGAGGCACCAGUAUCAAUUAAAACAUAUGCAAGAUGAUUACAGAUAGUGUACGUACCUAUAUCACGUCUGGGUUGGCUUCUGCAUCUUGUUAAGUGAGGUUGUAAGCUCUGCCCUGCAUAGGAGGUUUGGCCUAGUUUUAAUUCCUCGGACACUCUCUUGCGUAAUACGAUAAGUAUUGUUGAGGGAAUUGCAGGGUCGAUCCCCAUGAUCCUUGCCAUAGUGCUGGCAAGUCCUACUGCAUCUUGUUGCUGGAAUUUGAGGAGAAGCCUCAGUUAUUAGCUUAGGUCUCUUAUUUUGUUGAACAGGUGUAGUGGGUGCUGGUCUGCUGUUUGAAAUUGGGGACCUGAGGUUCUCUACUACUGGAAAAAAAAUGCAAAGGUUCCUCUCUAUUAGUUGUGCCUUAGUCAGAAUGGCUGAGUAAGUACUGAGCUCGAACACAUACAACUACUGUCUAAUCUCAGGAAUGAGGCCCCACUCGAACUUUCUUGCAUUUCUGCCUUCAUCCAUCAUGAUCUCAAAGGAAUAUCAUCCCAACUUUAGGAACUUUUGGGUAUACUUUGAUACAAUCAUAUCACCCUAGAUUAGGUGUGCAAACUCCAUUUUGUUCAGAUGUCGGAGAUACUCUGGGAGGUACUCUGCAUUGAAGGCCAGAAACUAUUCUCAAGUGACUGAAACGGGCACGGUGGCCUGUUUAAGUUGCCACAAGCAACCUGCCUCUCCCACCAGCAUGUAGGUGGUGAGUAUAACUCUUUGUUCGGGAACCACUCCAAGAAUCAUGAAAGUCUUCUCUGUCUCAGCUAACGAGUACUCAGCCUCUUUAAAUGAGGAUGCUCCUACAAAUAUAUAUGAGUUUAGUCUUUUAUACCUCUCAAUGUAGCUUGGGUCUAUCAUUGGUGGAACUGGGUCCCGUGAAAGAGGGACUGGAUUGUGCUGGGGAGGGACUGGAUUGCCCUGUAGUGGUACUAAAUGAUGCGGUGGAGGCACCAAAUUGUGCUGUGGUGGUGUCGAGUGAUGCAGUUGGGGCUCCGGACCAUAUUGUGGUGGUAUCGAAUGGCAUUGUGAAUGAGUAGGGUUGUACCAAGGUGGCUCAAGAUCUUCCCGUUGUAGGAGUGGCUUAAGCUGUGUCAGUGGGGGAGGGUUAGGUAGCUCCCUCCUUUCCUCCCGGGCUUAUUGGGCAGCAAUGAGUCUCUCCAGCAUUUCAAAGAGUCAGUCAACAUCCUCUCAAAGUGAACCCUCCUAGGCUGCUCGGUUUAGUGGCUGUCUUCAUCUCCUCAUCUACCUGUACCUGCAUUUCACAAGGAACGGUUGAGCGAUAGGUCAUUUUUUUUGUGUUUCCUUAGGUUUUUGUGUAAGGAGUAAUUUCGAGAAACACGAUUCUGAUACUAACUGUAAAGGUCCAUAAC
This 1475-nucleotide long non-coding RNA is filed under the name Carica papaya (papaya). Its description in RNAcentral is "long non-coding RNA (CPAP_LNC013774)". Lineage: Eukaryota; Viridiplantae; Streptophyta; Magnoliopsida; Brassicales; Caricaceae. The record is from RNAcentral.